RNAcentral lists this ribosomal RNA (529 nucleotides) under uncultured bacterium. RNAcentral's name for it is "bacterial SSU rRNA". It matches the Rfam family "Bacterial small subunit ribosomal RNA", at positions 64 to 606 of the family's 1533-position model. The record is from RNAcentral.
AUGAUUCUUUCGGGAUGAAUUCCAAAGAGGAAAGUGGCGGACGGGCGAGUAACGCGUGAGUAACCUGCCCAUAAGAGGGGGAUAAUCCAUGGAAACGUGGACUAAUACCGCAUAUUGUAGUUAAGUUGCAUGACUUGAUUAUGAAAGAUUUAUCGCUUAUGGAUGGACUCGCGUCAGAUUAGAUAGUUGGUGAGGUAACGGCUCACCAAGUCAACGAUCUGUAGCCGAACUGAGAGGUUGAUCGGCCGCAUUGGGACUGAGACACGGCCCAGACUCCUACGGGAGGCAGCAGUGGGGAAUAUUGCGCAAUGGGGGCAACCCUGACGCAGCAACGCCGCGUGCAGGAAGAAGGUCUUCGGAUUGUAAACUGUUGUCGCAAGGGAAGAAGACAGUGACGGUACCUUGUGAGAAAGUCACGGCUAACUACGUGCCAGCAGCCGCGGUAAUACGUAGGUGACAAGCGUUGUCCGGAUUUACUGGGUGUAAAGGGCGCGUAGGCGGACUGUCAAGUCAGUCGUGAAAUACCGGG